GGCUAUGAGUUAUCUGGCUGUGACAUCUGUCACCUCACUGAUCACAGGGUUAAUUUGACUGAUUUGGCUGGCUAGGCAGGGGUCUAGCCCUUCCCUUGUUGCUCCAUGUUCACCUCUUCUGAAGCUGUGUGCUUGAUAGCUUUCCCCAGCAUAAGCCUGUUCUUCAGUCAAGGGUAUAUGAAUAGCUGUGCUUGGCCCUCCGUGCUGUUUAGUUAUUGCUGACUAACCCUCUCCAUCAGAGUAUCACGUCUGUGAAACAUAUUAUAAUUUCUAUUGCUAUGGGGGGACCCAGCACACUGUGGGUGGUGCCAUCCC
This 315-nucleotide small nuclear RNA is filed under the name Mus caroli (Ryukyu mouse). Its description in RNAcentral is "sRNA (MGP_CAROLIEiJ_G0008700.1)". The stretch from base 1 to 282 matches the Rfam family "7SK RNA". From Rfam's summary of the family: 7SK was discovered as an abundant small nuclear RNA in the mid-70s but a possible function has only recently been suggested. Two independent studies have found that 7SK RNA binds the CDK9/cyclin T complex (known as elongation factor P-TEFb). The record is from RNAcentral. Lineage: Eukaryota; Metazoa; Chordata; Mammalia; Rodentia; Muridae.